GACGAACGCUGGCUGCGUGCCUAAUACAUGCAAGUCGACCUUAGUGGCGGACGGGUGAGUAACACGUGGGAACCUACCCAUCAGAGGGGGAUAACACUUGGAAACAGGUUCUAAUACCGGAUACCGAAGGAUCGGCCCGCGUCUGAUUAGCUUGUUGGUGGGGUAACGGCCUACCAAGGCGACGAUCAGUAGCUGGUCUGAGCGGAUGAUCAGCCAGACUGGGACUGAGACACGGCCCAGACUCCUACGGGAGGCAGCAGUGGGGAAUAUUGGACAAUGGGGGCAAGCCUGAUCCAGCCAUGCCGCGUGAGUGAUGAAGGGCUUAGGGUUGUAAAGCUCUUUUGUCCGGGACGCGGUACCGGAAGAAUAAGCCCCGGCUAACUUCGUGCCAGCAGCCGCGGUAAUAC
RNAcentral lists this ribosomal RNA (407 nucleotides) under uncultured bacterium. Its description in RNAcentral is "partial 16S ribosomal RNA". It matches the Rfam family "Bacterial small subunit ribosomal RNA", at positions 28 to 526 of the family's 1533-position model. The record is from RNAcentral.